UGGAUGAUGUUAUCAUAUAUUUGCUACUUCAGAACCCACGGGGUAAUGAGAACAUAAAUCACCAAGAUCUCUGACA
This 76-nucleotide small nucleolar RNA is filed under the name Saitoella complicata NRRL Y-17804. Its description in RNAcentral is "Small nucleolar RNA SNORD24". It matches the Rfam family "Small nucleolar RNA SNORD24". Rfam says of the family: U24 is a member of the C/D class of snoRNA which contain the C (UGAUGA) and D (CUGA) box motifs. Lineage: Eukaryota; Fungi; Ascomycota; Saitoellomycetes; Saitoellales; Saitoellaceae. The record is from Rfam by way of RNAcentral.